UGUAAGCGUAUACCAAAGUUGUUGCAGUUAAAACGCUCGUAGUCGGAAUUUGGCAGUUCCGGAAGUGUGCACGUCGUGUGCGCACUUUGCGGGGACUGCUUUUGUGGUCUUGCGUAGGAUGAGGCACUUUCAUUAGUGAACGUCCUCACGCAACCACUCUUUACUGUGAGAAAAUCAGAGUGCUCAAAGCAGGCAUUUGCCGUGAAUGUAUUAGCAUGGAAUAAUAGAAUAGGACUCGGCUCUAUUUUGUUGGUUUGUUGGGACUGAGUAAUGAUUAAGAGGGACAGUUGGGGGCAUUUGUAUUUCGGUGCUAGAGGUGAAAUUCUUAGAUUACCGAAAGACAAACUGCUGCGAAAGCGUCUGCCAAGGAUGUUUUCAUUGA
Molecule: ribosomal RNA, 382 nt
Filed under: uncultured eukaryote
Lineage: Eukaryota
Description: partial 18S ribosomal RNA
Rfam family: Eukaryotic small subunit ribosomal RNA
Source: RNAcentral